GAUGAAUGCUGGCGGCGUGCCUAAUACAUGCAAGUCGAGCGGUAGCAGGGCUUCACCGUUCUCUUGUCGCACUUGGCCUAUGUGCAAGUGGUCUGAUACGAGGGAACAGUGAAGCUGCUGACGAGCGGCGGACGGCUGAGUAACGCGUGGGAACAUACCCUAAAGUGAGGGAUAACUACUCGAAAGAGUGGCUAAUACCGCAUAUGAUCUUCGGAUUAAAGCUUUCGAGCGCUUUAGGAAUGGCCUGCGUACGAUUAGAUAGUUGGUGAGGUAAAGGCUCACCAAGUCGACGAUCGUUAGAUGGUUUGAGAGGAUGAUCAUCCAGACUGGGACUGAGACACGGCCCAG
Molecule: ribosomal RNA, 348 nt
Filed under: uncultured bacterium
Lineage: Bacteria
Description: bacterial SSU rRNA
Rfam family: Bacterial small subunit ribosomal RNA
Source: RNAcentral